This is a long non-coding RNA of Corvus hawaiiensis (hawaiian crow), 19479 nucleotides long. RefSeq lists it as uncharacterized. The transcript is spliced from 5 exons. NCBI's taxonomy places the organism in Eukaryota, Metazoa, Chordata, Aves, Passeriformes, Corvidae. The record is from RefSeq and is a predicted model, not a curated record.
UCUAGAUGUGAAGAUAAAUCAGAUCUUGAUAAGAUAUAUUUCAUAAUUGUUUGGGAACAAGAAAUACCAAGGCCAGCAGAUCAGAGCUUCCCAGUGUGCAGCUCCAUGGCAGCUUUAACAUCACGAGGAAGUUAUUUAUGGAAGGCACUGUAGGUGGGAAAAAGAAAAUUCCAUCCGUUCGAAGAGCUGGCUGCUAAUGCAGUUACUCAGAAUGCUAGAUAUCUCUGAAGAGAGGCUGCUCUUCCCAUAACACUCUGGAACAGCAACACAAAGUCAAAGAACUGAUUUAUGCCUUAUUUCCACUAAGUCAUGCAAAUUGGAAAGCUUCAAAAGCCUUAGCAAUCUGAUGCAAAUGCACUCCUAUGAAAUUCCAUGGGGGCUUUAGAGGUGCCUUCUAUGCAGACCCUAAGGAGAACAAACAGCUGCCUGCCCUUAUAGUGCAUCACUUCUAAAUACUAAAGGGAUUUGCUAACAGGAGAAAAAUAAUUUGCACCUGUCUAUGCCAUCUUCAGAGCAUCUGGUUUACAAAAAUGAAAGCAGCUGAGAAAAGAAAAUAAAUUGACCUGCAGCAUGCAAAAACUGCAAUAUAAACCAGUUUCUGGAACACUACAGUUUUGCCAGAUAUUUACAGUUUAAACUUCAUUGUAAGAUACUCCCUGGAAUGCCAAUGCUCCCACAAUCUCAAAAGGAUCUCCUGCUUUAGACUGAGUUUUGACAAGGAUACAAGCAGUAUGAUGCACUUGUUCAGAUAUCCAGGGAACUGUUUAAAUUCUCAACAGUUCUCCAACUAUUUAAAAUACCUAAUAUUUUUAAUAAAAAAAUUCAAUAUGUGCCUCAGCUUUUAAUUUGUGAGCAUAGCAUGUCAUUUACAUGAGGGAAACUUGAAUUCUCCUAAAAGAAAAUAGAAGAUUUACAUAAAUGUUAAAUACUUUCAGUGCCACCUAUUGGCUGAUAAAUUGUUUCAGAUGAACAUCAGCUUCAUAACUGUGGACAAAGUACGUAGGGCUACUUAUAGUAAUAUUUCUAAUUCGUACUGAAGGUAAAACCAGCAUCAGGGUCUAUAAUCAUAUUUGAAGACAUUAUUCCAUCUCAAAGAAUUUAAAGUCUAACCACUUUUUUUUUCUUCACAGAAAACAACAAAUCCUGGAGGAUGCUUCAGACAUAUUGUGGUGGUAUCAAUGUUCUAACGCAUUUAGAGAAUAGGUAUGGUGUUGGAAGAUGUAUGAAGAGGUCAGGAAGUGAUUAAAACUUGUCUUUUUAGCCUGGCAAUGGGGUUUUACUUGUGUGAACCUAUCAUCCAAUCAGUUUAGCUACAGUUAACUUCUCUGUAAAAUUUCAAGUCAAAGACACUCUUCACUGCAUCUCAGAUCCCAUUUCUGGAAUAUACUGAAUUCUGUGGCAUCUCUCAGAACUUAGGCCACAGAAUUAACUUGCCACAUUGAUAAUUUCAUCAGGAACAUGAGGAAUACCAUUCAAUUACAUAGUUAAAUGUAAUCUCAUGAUUGUUUUCUAGAGCAAAAUUUGCCAUUCUGAAUGAAUGAUGUUUAUAUAUUUUAUCAUUUUUUUAAAUGUGUAUGUUUAAUAACUCUCCGAAUGAUCUUGAGUUUAGGAUUUUAGGUAAGCUAUCUAGAGGCUCUAUUUAUACAAGGAAGGCUCAUUUGUUACAUACAUUGUUAUGAAGCUUGAUAUUUCCUUGAAGAAAUGAUAAUUCAAGUUUAUAAUUAUUUCUUUGUUCUAGGAAUUCCACCCAUAAGAAUGAUUUAUACUUUUUUCCUCUUUAUGCUGAGGUUUUUUGUUUGCCUCCCAGAUAAGUUAUGUCACAAUAGGGAGAUGGAAUUAUGGCUCAUAUUUUCAAAGAACCUAACUGCUUUGAAAACAAGGCUUGAUCAUAGUGCCCUGUGCCAGAAAGGGACUUAAUAUCCCAUACAGCUCUUUGUAUUUGCUGACACUUUUUUAAAGAGAGUCACCUUAUCUCUUUGAUAAACUAGAUAUUUUAAAUCAGCUGCUUGGGAAAAGAGCAGAGCUACACCUAUGCCCAGAGAGUCCAGCCACUACAGACUAAGAAUGGUCAGUUCUGUCCUUGGAGAAGGAGUUUAGUUAAUUACCUUAGAGCUUACAGUCUGCUUAAGGUGAGCCUCUGAAUUCCUUCUAUAGUCAAAGACAACCUCUCCAGGUUGGCAGCUUGGAGAGAAAUCCUAGUUAUAGGACAAUGAUCCAGAACGGUAAAGUAUUUUUACAAGGUGACUGUCCUGUAUCAGGAGCUAUUCAGGGAAUGCAGGUGACCUUAAAUUUAACACUAAAACUUUUUAGGAGACUGACAUUUUGAAAUGAAUCUUAUCCUGACUGUCUAACGUUUUAACUUUGAACAGGUCCUUUGCGAGCAUUUCCAGUUGUCUCAGUUUCCUACAAAAAAAAGAAAAAAUUGCCAGGUCUGUGUUACAAAACUAAUCUUGGGAUACAGUUGCCAGCUGGGGGCAGACAGGACAGGACCUUUCUGGCUGAGGUCCCAGAGAUCAUGGAACUGGCCCUGGCUGUCGAGGUUCACCCUGCCUGGCCCAAGAACAGCCUCCACCAUUGCUGUCCUCAUAGCGCACUGACACUGUCAUUAAUUUUGCACUGAUUUAAUUCAUCCUUUCAGGUCUUUUCUACUCCUGGCAUUAAUUUUUGCUUCUCCUUUCCCCUUAUGCCCUCUCGGAAUCAGACUGCCCUUUUUUGGCGCUGAAGUGCAGCUAAGCAGCCUGAAGGCUGUGAACUUUUGGCCACAGACUCAGAAGCUGUGACAGAGGCUGAGUCAACAAAAUGACUCAAGGCCUGAAACACAUCAGAAAAAAGAAAAAAUAAUCUGUCCCAUAGGAUUUGAAAUAAAUUAGGUUUUUAACAAAUUACAACAAAUCCUUGGCCAAAGGAGAAAAAUCCAAGAAUGGGAGCAAUGUUUUUCUUCAGGCUAACAUGGUGAAAAUAACAUGAGCUUCAGUGCUAAACUAUAUCCAUUGGUGAGGGAAGAAUACAAAAGUGCAAUAUUUAUUUAAUGACAGAAGAAAAUGUCUGACUCAGUGUUCCUCUGAAGCCCAGCUUACUACAAUGGUGGUUGUACUUUAAUUCCCAUAUCCAAACCUGAAACUAUAUAGGCUGAACAGAAACAACCCUCAGCUGUGGAAGAUUAUUUCCUGGCUAAGGGCAAAAUCAUAUAAGGACAUCUAAUCUCUAAUCUAAUGAGUACUAGAAAAUAAGUAUGGAAGCUCAUUUGCAAUACUUCUGAUGUUAGAAGCUUUUGCUUAUGAGUCACAAGAUUUUGGUGUUGUCAUAUCCAAAACAAAAUUUACAUUUUAACUAGUGCUCUGGAUAAAACCAAAUGAGGACUUGGAAUGCUAUUUCUUAACAGAAAAAAGCCACUCAUAACUUACAUAGCUUUUUUUUAUAAAUGUUUUGAUUAUUAAUAGAUUAAUUUAUUUAGCUUAAUCAGUCUCUAAUUUCCAAAACAGGACAAUUUUUCAUGUUAAAUUUUCAAGCACAUAUACAUCUGUAAAUAAAUUUUUUUGGAGAGUUGCCCAUGGCAUCAUCCUCAUUUUAGUACUUCCCUUUCCCAAACAAACAGAAACCAUGUAAGCCCUACCUUUCAGGUGGGUUCUUUACCAUUUUUCAGUGUUUAUAUCAUUUGACUUAGAAAGUCAUUCCUCCAAUCCCAUAUUCAAAUAAUUUUUAACAAUUUUCUAAGUGAAAAACAUGUCAUUACUAUGAUAAAUCUCAACUGAUGACAACACACUGCACAACUAAAUUGUCAUUCUAAAAAACUCUUUAUUUAACAGGGUUUCUUUGGUCAUGAUACUUGUUCAAGUAUUAUGAAGUUCAUAAUAAAUUAUCUCCACAUGGUAUUAACCAUGUUCAUGUCAAAGACAUAGGUCUCAAGUGUGUUGAUUUAAAAUUUCUACAAAAAAUGUUUAGUAGAAUCAGUGCCUUGAGAAUACAGUAGCAGUAUAACUUCAGCACUAAUUUGCUGUCACCAAGACUGUAUAAACAUAUGCACUGAGCUGCUGCUUUCUUUAGAUAGUGGUUCUGGGCUGUCUCUCUGCAAAGUACUUAGGUACAGUUCACUCUUUGUUAAAGAUCUCUCAAACAACCAGUGUGCUAGUUGGAAAUAAAGUAAUAAAAAUCGAGUAAGACUUCUUUAUACCCACCAAACUGCUAAUUCUGUGUUCUCCCUGCAGUUCUUCACAAAGAUUAUUGCUACACAAAUUCGGCUCAACUUCAGUGGAAUGUCAGGAGGGAAAAAGAGAGAAGUGUGGGUUUAUACUGUUGAAGAUUCAUAACUAUGGAAUAACCUUGUAUGAAUCCUAUGAUUCUAUGCUUUUUAGAUCCAAGUUGUGUCUCCUUUUACUAAAAACGAUGAUUCUCAAUCACAGCCAGGUACUUGUUCUGUAUCCAGAACAGUUCUACAAUGUCAUAGAAUCAUAGAAUCACUGAAUGGCCUGGGUUGGAAAGGACCCAAAAUUUUAUCUAGUUACAACCCCCUUGCCAUGGACAGUCUAUCACUGUUUAUUAAUCAGAGGAAACUAUUUUUAUAUUUAUUCCUGAAUGUUUUAUAAGAGGCAAGUUGGAAUUCCAAGUUUUCAGAAAUUGGCAAGUGCAUAAAGAGUGAACUAGACUUAUUUUGAGAGGGUUCUUUUAGUUUUGUCUUUAAAAAAGUAACUAGAUUAUGAGGUUUAGGUGAAAAUGUUAUAACUUUAUUUCUGUUUUAAGUCAACUGAAACCAGUCUAUUUGUUGACGAGCCAAAUAAUUUAUUUGUUUUAGCUUAAGACAUAGCAAUGUUUGUAGUCCAAAAUUAUGUUCCCUGGAUAUCCUUAAUGUGAUGCUGUUGGUUUGUUAAGUGUAUCCCAAGAAGAGAUGAGAACAAGAAAAACCUUAGCUAUCUUUCAUAAAACAGCUAAUAUGACAGUUUCAUGGUAUCUAAAAAAUGUUUACUACCAUUUUAAAAGAUUAUGUCAGGAAAAAAUUCAAAUGCAUGAGUGUGCUUCUGGACAGCUUGACUGUUAUGUCACACAGCUGUGUCACUUACAUUUUUUUGUACAGAUUUAUGCUGUAGAAUUCCAAAAUAAGCAAGAUUCCAGGCCAAAUGGAUCCAAUCUGAUAAUGCAUUCUGAGAGUGGUACAGUUCCUUUAAUUCUUGUUUAAAAAGGCUUCUCAGUCUUCUUCUGAGUACCACCAGAGUGACUAGACUCCCUGCUAUUACUGAAGUGUCAGGUUGCUUAAUAUUUGUACCUCAUGUUGUCACUAGGAUAAUGUACCAUUUGAUGUGACCACAAGUCUUUAAAGUGGGAAUUAUUUGGUUAUUUAAAUAGUAGCUUGUUUUUCUGUGAAAGUUUAAUAAUGAUGACUGUUCUCAAGGAAAAAAAAGAACAAUCCCUAAACCCUUAGAGUGACUUAGACUAGCAGCUGGCUUAGUCAAUUAGCUUACAGCAUCAUCUCUACUGUAAUGGUGUUCUUCUGGAUCUUGACUUUCUUUUAUGCCUGAUUCUGGACAGAAAAAUGAUAAUGUUUGUUUUAUUAAUUUGUAUGACACAGAUUACCCAUGAAAAUUCUCACAAGUGAUGCCUUUUUGAUGGAAAUAGACUCUUCUUGGGUCUUUUCUGAAAUACAUCUUGGUGUAUUGAUUUAGCAGUUGAAAAAGACGUGAUAAGUCAGCAAAAGGAAAAGCAAGCCCUAGAAAAUAAAUAAAUACAUAUUAAACAUAAAUAUAAUUUCUACCUGAAUAGAUGCAUCAUAUUUUCAAUGUUUUUCAGUGUUUUCCAUAUAACACUCUAACGUUGUCCUGCUAUUAAUUCAAAGAAACCCAAUGCAAAUUGCUUCAAGACAAAUAGCAGUAUCACUGCAUAAGAUCAACUUCAUAUAACUAUGUUUUAACGGCCUUAAAGUCAAAUAUGUCUCAAUGCUUCCCUCCACUCUGUGCUCUUUUAGAGAGCAGUUCAGCCAGAAUCUGAGUGAAUUGACAUCUGGAAGUACCUGUCUGCCUAUUUGUGUUUGCCUCUCACUUGGGGUUAGGUGAGAUGGGGUGCCUUUCCCUCACCUUCUACACUCACUUCAAGGUUAUUUGAAUGAAGUGAGUAUAGGAGAAAUUAAUGUACCUUCCACAUUUUAAUAACGUAUUUUAUGGGUAAACACAGUUCUAUCUUUUUCUGAUAUUAGUUAUUAUUUCUAUUUUGUCAUUACUCUCCUUAAAACCACUAACCUUUUUAAUAUUUCCAGUUGAAAAAAAAAACUCCUCUUAUAUAGUAGAUGAGAACCUUAUUCCAUUGUAAAGGUGGAAGAAAUGCACAAAAGUGCUACAUAUUCACAUUUUUAUCAAAUAACCGAAAAUUUUAAAAAAUCUUUUCUUAAUUUAAUUAUAGCAAAAAGAUAAAAUCAUAUUUACUGUUCUUUUACAGCUGACAAUUGAAUCCCUUGUUGACUAAACUUCUCUACCUAAACAGAUCCACAAUGACAUAUUUGGGAAUCAGUCUUUUAUCAUCCACAGUGAUGGAGCUUUCACUGUGAAAGCCAUGAUGAUUACUGAAGUACAGCUUGACUCUUUUCAAAUUUUGCAAUGUCUUGUAAAAUAAAGGAAGAUUUAUUUUAUAUUUACACAUAUGCUUUGUAAUUAUUUAAUCAACCAAAUCAAAAUUUUACAAGUAAAAAACAUUUGUCAUUUCAUUAUGCAUUGUUUGAGGCUGAAAAGGCAUUUGAUUAUCAUAAUUGAGUAAUGGAUAUUAGCUACAGUGGUAAUCAAAAUAAACACAGAGCAUUUAUAUAGCAUCUUUUCAUGGUCCUUUUCCAAAUUAUAUAAUCCAUGUACAAACUGCACAUGAAUAAAGUGCUAAGGUUAAACAAACAAGCCUUUAAUGAUCAGCAAUGGUGAAGUCAAGAGGUUUCUUCCAGACAUAUGUCUCAAAGAGUACCUUUAACUGAAAAAGCUAAACAUUAGGUUUUGUCAACGUUAAAUAUUUCUUGUCUCAGUUCUCUAGAGUCUGUAAUUUUUUUUUUAAAUGUUUAAAAGCUUAACUUAUUCACUCCCACUCUACAAGGUGUUCUACAGAAUCCUUUCACAUACUCAAGAGAUGCUUUCCAGUGGUGUGUGAUUAGUGUUAAAGUGUACUUGGCCUUGUACACAAACAUGAAAGACACGAUUAUAUCAGUCUGGAACUUUGCAUUAGAAAAAGCUGGCUUCCUUAUGAUGGCAUUUGUUACACUAGUUGCAGGUGUGCAGGUUUUUUCUCUUUUUAUUUCUGAUUAAAUUGCAAUAUCAAAAUGCCCCAUUUAGGAAUUCCAUUGAAAUGAUCAAAUAUAAUUUUUUCUGUUUCCAAAACUUUUGUGUAAGAAGCUUCUAUAUUUCAUGUAUUUUUAAAUAACAAGUAAAAGGGCUGUAAUAAAGUUAUUCAUUCUUAUUACCCAGAAACACAUUUUCUGAUAUUCUGUAAAUGCUCUGUAACAGUCCCUUCCAGUACUGUUUGAAACAGAUAAAAUGUUUCUUCCGUUACAGAUGAGAUCCUGAAUCCGUUGCAGAAAGUGGGAACGUUGUGACCUUCACUUGGGCAGGCUUUUCAGAUCAGGUUGUUGAAUGUUUUGUCUCAAAUGCAAACAUCAGAUACCAAGUAACUAUGCUAUAGAAGUAAAAUUUUAUGCAGGCGGAAUCUUAAUUGAGGGACCUGAGUAAGGUUUAAUUCUAGAAAUCUGGAGACUGCACAGGGAAUAGUUUGAAUAUUCAAAGAUCCAAGUACCAAUGGUUUGAAUAUUUGUGGUAUUUGAAGGUUAUCAUGAAACAGUAUUUCUAUUGCUUGUUUUGUACCACAUGGUUAUGACUAUGGAGAAAUACUUUUCACUUAGCCUUGUUUUCAUGUUAGCAGUAUCUCUUUUCUCAUUAAGUUUAGUGAAGACGUAUAACAUGUUUAACCAUUUUUCUUAUAUAAAGCUGGAACACUCAUUUCUACAAGAGACACUUAUAUAGCCUGCAGUACAUAUAAGCCUUGUUAGAGCAGUCUAGGUAAUUGUAGUCUUUUGCUGAAUUUAUGCAAACAGACACGCUACACAGAAUGAGAAGAGAGGCUCUUCAGGAAAGCCAUUAUUGUCUGCAAUAUUUCUUUUGACCCUUUUUCAUUUCAGAAGUGGCAUAAUCUUGUACUUAAUCCCACUGACCCAGGUAUUUAAAUCCAGUGGACUUUAGGCCAUACAAAAAUUCUAGGGAGAGGCAGUAUCUUCAACAUGCCAAUGUAAAAUAAAGGAUAAGAUUUCAGGGCUUUUUCACUAUGAAACUGAAUCAGCCAUCAAACAAAAAGAAUGGCUCUAUGUCUUCUGAGCUAGGUACAUUCAAAUAUUGCUAUUUUUACUAGUCUAGUCUUUAGGAACUAGGUAAAAUGGUAAAUGUCAAUUUAUUUCCCCCAAAUGAUUUAAGGAAUAGUAUACUUGUUUUACUGUAUUCAAACACCUCCAGAGAAUAGAUAGUAAUACAUUAUGGAUACCUGGUAAAUUCCAGAACACUUUAAAAUACAUAACCAUUGCAAUUUGUGAAAACAUUUUCUGCCUGUUUGGCCACCUCUAUGUAAACUUAAUAGUGAAAACCAUUAAUCCCUAUAAUGUGGUUACUGUUAAUAUGUAUUUUCACUUUAAUCUCAGAAAGUCAGAAAAAAAAAAGGUUUUAGGUUAUUUGAAGAAUUUAGAGCAGUGGCAGAUAAUCUGUAAUUUGAAAGAAGAAGAGCUGGAUGUAAAGAAGUGGUAAAGUUUUGCCCUUCCUUUCCUGAUUCCAGUUUAGGGUUGGGGGGGGGCGGGGGUUUUGAGACAUUCAAAAUGAAAAUAUGUACCUUCUUGCAAUAGGUGUUAUGCUAUACUGGACUCCUUGUAAAAGUGCAAUUAAGGAGGAAUUUGAAGAAGAGGGAACUUCUCAAGCUGGCUCUCAAUGCUAAUAAUUGAGGAAGUUAAUGGAAAGGUCUCCAAGAGUGUAGGUGUAGCUUUGUGCUCUUAAUAACUCUAGGUGUACCUGGUCCUAUUGCUGUAUUUGAGGAAAUAUUUCUCAGAAGUCACUUACACUAUUCUAGGUUUCACAUCAGGACGUUUUGCAGUUUUGUAGCUGAAUCUUAAAUAAGUUUAAAAAAUAAAAAAUUUGGCUUGUGCUGUAUCUUGCCUACUGUACACUACUGUGGCAUACAUUUUGAAGUAGCAUCAUAACUGGCAGAUCUUUCCAUCAUUUUGACUGGUUAAUGAAAUAUUUUUCUCAAAUUCCCACAAGUAAAUAAUGAACACUGUGAUUUACAUGCAUAUAUGCACUUUUGUCGUGGAUAUUAGACAGUAAUACAGAAUUCAUGGUUUAUCUGUCACAGUCCUUGCAAUACAGCACUUCUUCCAUGAAGGAUCUAUUAGUCAGACUAAUUCAAUUCUGUCCAUUCCUGCUGUCCAAAACAUUAUAACUCCCCUUGACAGAGGUGUGUUCUGAUGCCAAAAUUUUGUCAAUCUCCUUUUCUGUUCAGUAAUUGAAACCUGACACACUUUGCAUGCCUUCAAUGCCAUUAACUGUUGUUUUAAUUCUAGGUAAUGACUGGGUCAUUCAAGAUAAAUCUUUUUACAAGGCUGAUUAUUUUAAAAUAAAUUUAAAUAUUAUACACAGUAUCUUUCCAAAACACUUGAGAUUAAUGAAGGGUCUUAGUAGCAUAACCAACAGUUUUAGUUAUUUGACCUCUAUAUUAAAUAUAAUGACAUCUGCAGAAAUUUCUGUGUCAGAGCCAUGAGUGCACCAAGAUACUGGUGAAGUACCCUGGCAAAUCUCCCCUGAGGCCUUUACCCAUGCAUCCUCUGCUCUCUGACUUGGGGGCUGCAUCAAUCUCAGACUCUUGCCCUUCUUGGUCCUUCCUGAGUUAUGAUGUAGGUUUGCUGCCUCUGGCCCUGCCAUUCAGGCAGAGAUUUGUAAAUGGGUCUCUUCUGUGCUGUGUGGUAGCUCUAAGCUCUGAGGUGUUGGAAUGAGACUUUCCUUUUCAUCUGAAGAAAGAUGGACCUACCCCCUGAAGAGGGUUUGCAGUUCAGAGCAAGGGGGAUGCAAAUCUAAGCAGUAGUUAUUAAGACUCAAGUCUCUUCUGAAGUGGUUUCUUUUCAAUUAAUAAUUUAGCUUGUUCUAUUCCCUAGAAGUCUGUUUCUGAACCACCCAGUAUUGAGCAUAUUCUUCAAUGAGUAAGAAGUGGAAAUUUAUUUCUAUCCUGCCUAAGAGUAUUUCAUCCCCCCACCACUACAUGCCCUAAAAGCUGCCAGCAGAAGUGGGUGGAGAGGUAUCUUUUUCUUGUGUAGCAUUAAGCAAAAUAGGAAAAACAGAAUCUGUUGCAUAUAAAUUGCUUAAAUAAUUGGAUGUGGUAAAUUCACCUGAAUACUAAAUACUGCAUUACACAGUUUUCCAUAGAGAAAGAAAGUCUGUGAAUCAAAUGUAUGAUUUCCAAGCUUAAGCUCUUCUCAUUAUCCUGCAGCUUCUUUUUUCUUUGCAAUACUAUUUCACACUAAGCCAUGGAAAUAUUAAGAAUUGUGCAUUGUUCUUACAGAAAUUUUUCCCAAAGCCUAACAGUACUAGAGGAAGAUGAGAAGUGUGCAUGCCUACUUCUUGCCUAUAAAGAUUAAAUAAUCAGGGCCAUUAUUCAAGUUUAUCUUCUCUUCAUUCUGAACAGUGGUCAUUUGGCAGUAUUUACAAACAUUAUGACUUGUGUGCCAAGUAAGGAUCUGUAACUGUCACUGAAUUCAACUGCUUUCGCUGUGCUUCUACUUAUAAUGGAUCACAUUCAGAAAAGUAGAGGCAAUGACUUAUGCUGUUCAUAGAGGGAUUUAAAAUACAAAUACAUUUGGCUACUUGCUGACCCUCCUGAAGGACACUGUAAUGGUGAAGAAUUAACAGAGGAAAAUCUCUCAGCAAAGUGAAAGGUAGAAAUGAGUGCUUUUCUAUCACCAAAACCCAUGCUAUUGUCCAGGCCAGGAGGUUAGCUUAUAAAAUGGUUCCUUGAAGAAAAUAAGUACUUUCAUCAUCAAUAAUGCCUAUGGAUAUUUCUCUCUCUCUUCUUACUAGCAAGGGAAAAUCCUACAUCAUAAUUUGCUACCCAAAUUUGUCCUAGUGUGAAGUAACUUCAUACUGCAUGACAAGCAGGUAUAUUAGCAGCCCCCAGAGAAAACUUGUUCUCAAAAUGCUACAUACAUUUUCAAAGAUAUCUUUGUUCUUGUGGCCACAAAGAUGGCAGUUAACCAUGACCAGGCUACAAAAUAUUAAAGAAUUUGUAGACCUGGAACUGAAUGUCAGGAGAAUACUAUGAAUUCAAAUACUGGUAUCAUUAAACUAAUUUCCUUAAUACUGAUAUCUUUAGCCUUAAAAAGCAAAGAACCAUUGUUUGUAUAUUUGCAGUAUUUUGAUCCUGGAUUGCAGUUGGAAAAAAAAAAAAGCAAGAAACAGUUGUUUUCCAAUAGAAGAAUGUCAAAAAUUUACGUUUAAAAUAAGCUCUAGUUCUUAGUACUGUGGAAUAGGCAUCACUGUCUUGUACAAAGUUAACAUUAGUUCUGAAGUUUGUUUUUUAAAUGUGCUUACAAAAUUAGUCAGAAAUUUGACAGCUGUGUGCAUACAAAAUAAAGUGAAGUUCGAUUAUAUAGGGGAGUUGCUUCAGGCAAGCCUUGACAUUUUUUUUUUCUAUGCCUAGCAACACUUCAUCAGAAUUAUAUGUUAUGAUAUAAUUUUAUCUAUUUAUGUUAUGUACCUAUGAAAUUUUCACAUUGUAGAAGGUUUUUUUAGUGAGUGUAAUCAAAAUAAGUCAAGAAAUAGUCCUUUCUCAAGAAAUGAAAAAGGUGUCCUAGGGAUUCAUAGCUGUCUAAAUUUUGGAAAGUUAUAAUUAGUAUAGCCUUUUCUCCAAAGUGGAACAUCAUUCAUACAAAUAACUUAGGUAUGUUCAUCCGAAUGUGCCUUACUAAGAAAAAGUAAUGGCUUAUUAUCAUGCCUUCUGGUCUUCAGCAACAUAUGAGAUUAUACAACCAGCAGAAAGGAUCACAUGAGUUUCUAAAUUUUCUUCUUUCUCUUAAAUGACAUAGUGUAAAAUGUGAGGCAGAGUAUGUGAGGCAGAAAAAAUUUAGAGUUAUAUGGGUUACAUUAUGUGGAUGACAGCUUACAGGUGACUGCAAAGUGCACCCACAUAUGAAUGCACCUGUAUCCAUUAACAAAGUGCUCUGAAAAAAUGCUUAUUUAGGAACAAUAUGAUGUUUAUACCACAUAGUUUACUGGUUUAAUGUGAUACAUUGCAGGUAUAUAGUGUUUACUUCAAGACACAACCAAACACUACAUUGUUCCUUCGUGUCACAGGGAGCACACAUUUAGGCAGGACCCUUGGCAAUCUUCUACUGUAAUCUGUUCCCAAGCAGGAUUUUAUGUGGCUAUGUUGCUACAGCCCCAGUUUGAACAUGGCUGGAACAUUUCCCAGAUGAGAGGGAAAGAAUGCCAUAGCCAGAAUUACGAUCUGCCUAGCAGACACAAAAAUAAUUGUACACAAGUGUAUACAUGUGAGGCCUUUACUAGGUCCAGAUUUUGUCUCACUUAUUUAUAUAAACGCCAGAUCUAUGGCCAGGCAGUGUCGGUGUCUGUUGGGUAUUCCCCCCAUCCCACUUAAAGUGCCAUCUGCUGUUUCAUAUAUCUGCCAAGUGUAUGGAUUAAGUCUGCUGUUUCCCAUUUAUGUCACGUUAUUAAUAAUGGUAAUGAAUGUUUGCUAAAUGAUAGUUGCACAGGCUGUAGUUGUAAAAUUCAUGGUCACACAUUCUUGUCCUUUCCUUAUUUGUCUUAUGAGUGCCAGAACUCUGGACAUACUUUUCAAUUCUCAAAUAUUUAUUUCUCCUGAUGAUCCCUUCUAAUAUUCCAACAAAUCAUAGGGCUUUAAAAAAUAUUACUCCCUGAUUCUAUGAACUGACUGCAUGUACAUACCCAUGCAUUUUCAACCUAUGCAGGCAGUGGGUACAGAAAAAUAACCAGCUUUAAAUGCAGUAAGGAAUAAUCUGGUAGGGUUCCCCUGUUUCACAUAUGAUUUGAAGAAGCCCAUCUUUUCACAAUCCCAGCAGUAAAGAUAGUAAAAAAAGAGACCUUCUCCAUACCUGUCCUGGUAUCAAAUUUAUUGACACAUUUUGAUAAACAGUGUGCAGCAUGUUUUGGUAUUUUAAAACAUGAUAAAAUGUAAUUAAUUUAAUUUUUAAAAGCCUCACACAAGGAUAUUUUUUCCCCUUUCAAUAGAUCUUCCUUUUUAAUGCCUGAGCUCUGAAGACUCUUGCAUCUAUAACAUAAAUGAAGGAAGUUUCAAAGGGACAUCCCAUAUGUAAUUUUUAUGAUAUGUAAUUCAAUUUCACUGUAACUGUGGAUACUUAUGAUGGUUGCAUGAUAUACACUUCACAUAUUUAUUGUGAUUAUUUUUCCACUGAAAUCUGAUAUCAGACUUCUGUAGUGGGACAGUGCAGAGUAAUCAGAAGUAAUCAUGUUUUCCCCAUCAAAACUGUCUCUCCCAAUAUUCCCACGUGUGUAUAAAGAGCCACUUAAUCACGAACUCUAAUAUGUUUGUUGGCAAUUUAAUUUUUUGUUUCACCUUGAGAACUACAGUGAGGUCAACAUGCUUGAGUACAGUUUUAUACUCUGCUGUAAUAACUUGAAUAUUUUUAAACCUACAUACAUAUGAGGUCAGUGCAAACUGUAAAUAUGUCUGUCGUUGGACCAAUAGUCUUGAUUUUGUCCUUGUUUUCUGACAGUUCUAGUAGCUUGUAAUAAACUUUUGGAUAGGAUUUAGUAGCUAAAGCAGACUUAACUAAGACCAGGUCACUAAAAUCAAAACCACAGGAAUGAAAAAUGGUGGUAACUUCUGCUUAGCCUUGGAGGUGUCACAGGUCCAUGCAAGAUUUUCUUUUCAUAUGCAGGACUUUGAAGUAUUCAGGAAAUUAUCAGGAAGUUAUCCAUCCAUUAAUUAAUUAAUUAAUUCUCCUCAGUUUUGCCUAGCAAGCUUUAAUCUAGUAGCUGUUCCCAGGGCAUGCCUUACGCAUUUCCACAUAGAAUCCUAGGAUUGUCUGAGUUGGAAAGGACCUUAAAUAUCAUCCUCAACUUCUCUGAACAACCUGUUCCAUUGCCUCACCACUCUUACAGCAAAGAUUUUUUCAUAACAUCUAAUCUGAAUCUCUCCUCUUUUAGUUUGAAACUAUUUCCUUUUGUCCUGUCACAAUCUGGCCUUGUAAAAUGGUGUGAGAGGAUGCUGCACAGAUGGAGGGAUACGUGUUUGGCCAGACUACCUGAAUUCACGUUCCUCUUUGGACCUCAUUGUAAAUUGCCCUGUUAGGCUGGAAAAUACCUGUAAAAGAGGGGGUCUUGUUGAAAGCAAAGAGAAAAUGCUGAAUUUCACUGGUCAGGCUGGUUUCAGAGCUACAUGUAUUAGAAAAAUACUGAAAAAUAUCACCAUAUCCCAGAAGAGGAAACACAUGGGGCUACAAAUAAUGAUUCUCCUCCUCCUGCCCUUUGCCCUAUGUGCCCUUCUUUCCAAGGCAGCACACCAUGGCAGCAGGUGGAGGAGGGAAUGAACACAACCACAAAACAGCCAUGAGACAAUGAGCAUUGGUGUAAAAGCCACAGAAGGCAGAAGUCUACCUCUCACCAUCUAAAAUGUGAGACCCCCCACUGCCCUUGAUGAAAGGUUACACUUUUACCCCCAGGAGGGUGCUGCAAAAUAACAAGAAAUUUUUCCAUGUAUUCAAGAGAGAGAAUGAGGGUCGAUGACUUGUCUUUGAUUUUCUUGUUGAGCUGUGCUCAGUGACAGCUACAGAUGAUUGCAUGCUGCUAGGUCCUCUCUCACUGUAUGUCUGCUUUAAACUUUUUCCUAAAGCACCUGGAAUCCCUUUGGGAUCUACUGGGGAGAAUAAAUGCCUAUUUUUGGACUCCAAAUCACAUUUUGAAUCUGGCAUUCUUCCUUUUUUUCUCAUAAAGGAUGCUUACAAACUGACACAAUGCCCUGACUUUGGUUUUCUUUUUUUUUUUAAACCAAUGGAAACAAUGUAUAUGACUAGUUAAAACUACAAGAAAGCAAAAUAAUAAAGGUGGUCUGGCUUUUAUCUGUCUGUUUCUUUACAUAUGAAGUGCACUCAGAAAUAUUUUUGGGUGUUGUUUUCAGUGUACAAGUUCUUUCAGACAGCUAAGGAAUAAUAUAAAAUUACUUAGUGUCCAGAGGAAAAAAAAAUAUACAUCUAUCAUAAUUCUGAACCUUUAAGAUAGCUAAAAAAUAAUAUAAAAUUGCUUCAUGUCCAAAUAAAAAAUUAUACAUAUAUCAUACUUAAUUCCAAAUAUUUAAAAAGCAUUAAAAAUUCAGAUUUGGAACCUGGGUCUUGUUUUCUUAUUUUGGAUAAUGACAAUGCUAGCCUUCUAAAUGUGAUUCUCCUUGUGUAAUAUACAUACAUAUACAUACGUCAAGUCACAGAAUGGUGAUUUGUAAAGUAAAUAGCAAUACAUUCUACUUUUUACUGCUCUCCACUUGAAAACUGUAUUGACUUGCUAACUGAGUGCCUUCUGCAUAAGACUUUAAAAUUGGAAGUGAGCUCAAAUAUUUGAAACUUCUCAGACUUGAAUCUUAACUCAGGUCUAUUUCAUACAGUUUAUCUCACUGGAAAUUAAUACUUGUUUGUUAAAAGUAUGUUUUUCACGUCCCAGUGUUCAUACUCCCAAUUAUUCCAAUUGUUUGAAUUCAGUUCUUUAUUAUAAGAAUGUCUACAGUGAGUACAUUGAAUAGAGCAUAAAGCCAUUUUUACUUUUGCAUGUGAAUAUAGCUCUUGUUUCUACAAUUACUCUACAUAUUCUACUUAAUUUGCAAGAUAUAGUAGGAAGGUUAGUUUGGUUGGCCCAUUUGUCACCAUUAUAGUCAUCCUAAACAAUAUUGUUAAUUUAUGCUAUGUAUUUCUAGAGUAGAAAAAGAGAUAAACUAUGCAAGAUGACCAUAUAAUCAUAUUCAAGGAUAUUGAUAAUGUAAAUGCUUCAGCAUGAAAAUCUUAAUUAGCUUUCAAACAGGCACACAAGGAGAGGAUGAUGGUGAAGACAGCUGUAAACAGUUCUCAAAAAAGAGAAAAAGAAAAAAAAAGAGAAAACCAUGCUCUCAGUGUAAAAAGGGAACAGAAUUUUCCAAUUGUAUCAUUGUGUCCAUAGAGAGCUAUUUCACAACAUAGUUAAAGAAUUAUAUCCACUCAGACUUGCUAGCUAUAUCAACGCCUAUGUUCCUUUACUCAGUUUUGAUAGCUAGGAUCUGACAGCAAGUCUGCAUACUGAGACUCUUCCUACGACUUCAGGUUUUCUUAAUCUCCUUGUAUGAUCUCUGAUGUAGGCCCAAUGCAUGUAAAAAUGUGAUCCACAUGUUUUUAAGUUCUCUUUACAAAAUUAUUACUACAAAACAAACGAAUUCUAUUUAAUAGAUUCUGAGAAAUAUAAAUACCAACCCCCCCCGCCCAUCUUACAACUUUAUUUUUACAAAGGCAUCAUCAUCCUUCAAAUAAGUUUGUAAGAGCAUUUCUCGUAGAGAAAGAAAGUGGUAGAAAUGGCAGGUGCUGUAUGGGUGAUGAAGCAGAAGUUACAGGCUUUCAUGCUGUCUUCAUCUGGUCAAUUUUAAAAUGGCAAAUACUAUCGAACAGGUUUUCCAUCAAACUUUAGCAGCUGUGAAACAAUGAAUACAGAAAGCACACCUGCCAUGUUUUUCAUCACCCGAUUUGGCUCUUGGCUCCCACCUGGAUUUGUGGCACAAAUUCUUGUCCUUGAAAGCAAGUCAUGCUUACUGCUAUUGUGGGCCCUAUCCACCAGACAAGUCUAUCUGUGCAUAUGGUCCUAAGAAGUUGGUGUCUAAAAGCAGCAACCCAGAAAGAAAAGUACAGGUCAUUUAACUCAUCAGAUAUAGCUUUCACUGGCACUUGUAUUAAGGUAGAAUAUUCUCACAAAUUAUUUCAGCGUCUCUACCAGUGUAUCUCUUCUGCUUGCCUUUCUCUUUUAAUUUCCUCUUCUCAGCAUCAGUUUCACAAAUGUUUGGUAGGUCCUUUCUGUGCCAAUGAGUCAUUCACUGCAGAAUUACUCUGCUUCUGUUUGCUUUCAACUGGGCUCCACUCCAGAUACAUGGAAAUAUGUUCCUUUGAUGCAAUAACGAUUUUUUUUUCUGGAUAUCUUGUUUGAACUAUUGGCCAUUUGUUUUCUCCUGAUUUCUGGAUAAAUCUACCUCAUAGCUAAGGUAACCAACAAGAAUUUAUCAUGCCUAAUGGUGAGACAAUAAGGCUCAGCAUACUAAAACAGAAGCAGAUGCUACUUCUGCAAUGCUCAUACUUUGCUGGCACAUUGGCUGAUUACGAUCUGACUCUGCCCUAUUCCAACUUCCCGUUGCCAGCCCAGAAAGUACCAAGUGUGUUUCACCUCUUUAUCAGUUACAGAAUAUAUGAAAUACAGUCUAUAUAUCUAGUUUUGUGAAUGAAUCUAUUGCAAAGGUUCAGGACUAAAGUUAACAGAAGACCCUUAGAAGUUUUAGGGUAAGCCAUAUCAUUCAGUGUAAACACUUCUUUGAUGAAUUCUCCUUACAUGUGGAAAACUUAUACCAGGGUUUUUUAUUGCACAGGAAAUGAUUAAAAAUAUUGCCACAGUUUUCAAAGAGUUUCAAAGAAAAAUAGCAGGGUUUCAAAGAUGCCACAAAGACCCAUCUUAUUUAUUAAUCAUGGUCAUUGGUUUAACGUCCUAGUUUCCUUUUCCAGCUUUCAGAAUUUUGAAAUUAAAUGUCCCUAAUCAGUUUAAAGCUCAUAUUGUUGUCUCACCCUGGAAAAUGGUAGUCUAAGAUUUUUUUUAAUGACUAACUGUUAGCACAACAUAGAGUAUGUAGCACUUGCUUUCGGAAAGGUGAUGACAGGAGUCCAUUGUUGGAUCUUGAGUAAAAUUUUGCUCAGAAUACCAGUAUAACUUUCAAAUUAAUCUCGAAAUUCUGUAUUUAUCUAUUUACCACAUGUUGCUUUAAUUUCCAAGUUGGUUUUACUUAGAAAAACCUUGAUUUUUUUCUGGAGAAAAUUAAGCUAGAAUCUAUUCUCAUGUUGUAAUUUACUAUCUUUCCUUUUCUCUUGCAUAAUACGUUUGAAUGAUAUAAACAACCCAAGAAAAUAAAUAAGAAGCCCAAGAAUGUGAUUUAUGCUGACAAUUUUCUUCCUGAAAAACACAGAAGAAAGGACUAUGCUAAGCAACCUGUUUCAUUCUCUUCUUCAAUUCUUUUUGUUUUUCACUGUACCAUCUUUUGGCUCUCUGUCAACAGCUCCAGCUUCCAGGUGACUUUUGCAAUUGCAGAUAGCUUUGGUGUUUGUGUAGUUCUUUAUUUAUGCCUAUCAGAUGGAGAAACAGGUAAAAUGAAGAAAGAGUUAGUCCCUGUUCCCUCUGUUUCUGACUUAUCUGUACAUCCUAUUAAAAAAUCAUUACAGAAAGCUGACUGAAUCACAGGAAAUGGCGCAGGGUUUAUAAAAUCAGAAGUAUAUUUUCUGCAUUAAUUCAUGCAAAUGAUUCAUGACAGAAAGCGAAAAUAAGUAGUUUGACUUUCUCUUCUCAGAAUGUUUUUAUUUUCCCUUUCCAUAAAAUGUUUUAGUAUCUUUUAAUUUAAUUUUAGAUUUACUCUCAGAUACAGGAACAUACCUACACUGUGGCUCUGCUCCAGGACUUAAAUAUGACCUUCACAACUGCUCCCCACUCUUGCCUUUCUUCCUCACUCUCUGCUUUGGAAAGAAUUCUAGAUAGAUGGCCCAGAAGACAGUUUCUGUGCCUGCCAAGAAGCUCCCUAACUGAAGAGAUCAGAAGACCAGGACAGGGCAACACACUGCGAGGCAUGGCUGUCUGUGCAAGUGUUGCCCCCACCUUUCAUUGAUCAGAUACGUUCAAUACAGACUUUGCUCUUGCUCCUUGUCUGUUCUCCAUACUGUACAAACAUUGUGAUUUCUUUCCUGUGGAGUGGAACCCAUGUAAAAAUAGACAUGAAAAGAUGGUCAUGACAUCCGUGCCUUCAUCGGUCUAAUAACAAUUUGGUUGCUCAGGUUGUUGUACCUGGACCGGAUCAUUCUUGAGUUUGAAGAAUACGGAAAUAGAAAUAUUCUUGAAUUUUUCUCUCAAGUUAGUAUUUUUUCAAGCAAGAUUUGGUCUUUAAGUACAAGACUGAUAAAAACUGGAGUGAUCCUGUGGUGUAUUGCCUGACAGUUCAAUUCAUGCAGUGUUUGAUUCACUGUUUCUCAAUCCAUGCAAGAAAAGUUUGUCAAUUCAAUGAAUGACGUGCAAUAGUUUUAAGUCAGACAUAUUCAGUGAUACUUCAAAAAUGAAUAUAUUGGGUAAAUCUAUUAUUGCAACUUUUAAUUUUUUUUAGUAUGACUUCAUAUCCACAUGACUUCCUUCUAUAGGAGGACAAUGAUUGUGUGUUGUGUCACAGUUAUUUUAUAGAAGCUGUAACAUUCAUUUAAAA